GGCGGCAGGCCUAACACAUGCAAGUCGAGCGGUAGAGAGAAGCUUGCUUCUCUUGAGAGCGGCGGACGGGUGAGUAAUGCCUAGGAAUCUGCCUGGUAGUGGGGGAUAACGUUCGGAAACGGACGCUAAUACCGCAUACGUCCUACGGGAGAAAGCAGGGGACCUUCGGGCCUUGCGCUAUCAGAUGAGCCUAGGUCGGAUUAGCUAGUUGGUGAGGUAAUGGCUCACCAAGGCGACGAUCCGUAACUGGUCUGAGAGGAUGAUCAGUCACACUGGAACUGAGACACGGUCCAGACUCCUACGGGAGGCAGCAGUGGGGAAUAUUGGACAAUGGGCGAAAGCCUGAUCCAGCCAUGCCGCGUGUGUGAAGAAGGUCUUCGGAUUGUAAAGCACUUUAAGUUGGGAGGAAGGGUUGUAGAUUAAUACUCUGCAAUUUUGACGUUACCGACAGAAUAAGCACCGGCUAACUCUGUGCCAGCAGCCGCGGUAAUACAGAGGGUGCAAGCGUUAAUCGGAAUUACUGGGCGUAAAGCGCGCGUAGGUGGUUUGUUAAGUUGGAUGUGAAAUCCCCGGGCUCAACCUGGGAACUGCAUUCAAAACUGACUGACUAGAGUAUGGUAGAGGGUGGUGGAAUUUCCUGUGUAGCGGUGAAAUGCGUAGAUAUAGGAAGGAACACCAGUGGCGAAGGCGACCACCUGGACUAAUACUGACACUGAGG
This 718-nucleotide ribosomal RNA is filed under the name uncultured bacterium. RNAcentral's name for it is "bacterial SSU rRNA". It matches the Rfam family "Bacterial small subunit ribosomal RNA", at positions 38 to 751 of the family's 1533-position model. The record is from RNAcentral.